GGGGUGCAGCAGGCGCGAAACCUCCGCAAUGUGAGAAAUCGCGACGGGGGGAUCCCAAGUGCCAUUCUUAACGGGAUGGCUUUUCAUUAGUGUAAAGAGCUUUUGGAAUAAGAGCUGGGCAAGACCGGUGCCAGCCGCCGCGGUAACACCGGCAGCUCUAGUGGUAGCAAUUUUUAUUGGGCCUAAAGCGUCCGUAGCCGGUUUAAUAAGUCUCUGGUGAAAUCCUGCAGCUUAACUGUGGGAAUUGCUGGAGAUACUAUUAGACUUGAGACCGGGAGAGGUUAGAGGUACUCCCAGGGUAGAGGUGAAAUUCUGUAAUCCUGGGAGGACCGCCUGUUGCGAAGGCGUCUAACUGGAACGGUUCUGACGGUGAGGGACGAAAGUUAGGGGCGCGAACCGGAUUAGAUACCCGGGUAGUCCUAACUGUAAACGAUGCGGACUUGGUGUUGGGGUGGCUUUGAGCUGCUUCAGUGCCGAAGGGAAGCUGUUAAGUCCGCCGCCUGGGAAGUACGGUCGCAAGACUGAAACUUAA
RNAcentral lists this ribosomal RNA (532 nucleotides) under uncultured archaeon. Its description in RNAcentral is "bacterial SSU rRNA". It matches the Rfam family "Archaeal small subunit ribosomal RNA", at positions 327 to 859 of the family's 1478-position model. The record is from RNAcentral.